This 253-nucleotide ribosomal RNA is filed under the name uncultured bacterium. Its description in RNAcentral is "partial 16S ribosomal RNA". It matches the Rfam family "Bacterial small subunit ribosomal RNA", at positions 524 to 776 of the family's 1533-position model. The record is from RNAcentral.
UACAGAGACUGCAAGCGUUAUUCGGAUUCACUGGGCGUAAAGGGUGCGCAGGUGGUUGUGUGUGUCAGAUGUGAAAUCCCGGGGCUUAACUCCGGAACUGCGUCUGAAACUGCACGACUAGAGCAUUGGAGAGGGUAGUGGAAUUCACGGUGUAGCAGUGAAAUGCGUAGAUAUCGUGAGGAACACCAGAGGCGAAGGCGACUACCUGGACAAUUGCUGACACUCAGGCACGAAAGCAUGGGGAGCAAAAGGG